GUUCCUGAUGAUGCUACAAACCAUGCUAAUUCUGAUGAAUUUAUGACUGAAAUCCGAUUUUCGGAAAUUUCCUGAGGGGACA
Molecule: small nucleolar RNA, 82 nt
Filed under: Erythranthe guttata (spotted monkey flower)
Lineage: Eukaryota; Viridiplantae; Streptophyta; Magnoliopsida; Lamiales; Phrymaceae
Description: Mimulus guttatus (spotted monkey flower) Small nucleolar RNA snoR53Y
Rfam family: Small nucleolar RNA snoR53Y
Source: Rfam by way of RNAcentral